CCCAAGGUCCUUCUUAGGACCACCAGUGAGUGGAACACAAUUUCU
This is a non-coding RNA of Mus musculus (house mouse), 45 nucleotides long. NCBI's taxonomy places the organism in Eukaryota, Metazoa, Chordata, Mammalia, Rodentia, Muridae. The record is from Rfam.